AGCGACGUAGGGAAGCCCGGUCUAUCCCGUCAGGCCCAUAACCUGAAGAUCACUGGUUCGAAUCCAGUCGUCGCCACCA
This 79-nucleotide transfer RNA is filed under the name Roseibium sp. RKSG952. RNAcentral describes it as "tRNA-Met". It matches the Rfam family "tRNA". Rfam says of the family: Transfer RNA (tRNA) molecules are approximately 80 nucleotides in length. Lineage: Bacteria; Pseudomonadati; Pseudomonadota; Alphaproteobacteria; Hyphomicrobiales; Stappiaceae. The record is from RNAcentral.